AUGCCAGAAACUGAGGGAAUUACCACUUCUGCCUCCAAGCCUAAUAUCGUUGAAAAUGCAAGAUGUUUGGCUGACCAAGUUUCCUAUUAUUGGCAAGGCAUCGAGUCAAAAUCAUCUAAGUUGAUUAACGUAAGGGUCACCAACUGUCCUCAUUUAACUUCGUUGGAAGGGAGCCUUUUGGAGCAAAAACUGUACAUGGGAACUCUCCGUGUCCUAAGACUUGUUGAUUGUAAACAUCUGGAGUCCGCAUCCAUACCAUUUGAAGAAAUGAAACAACUUAAGGAACUUGCAGUAAUGCAAUGUCCAAAGUUGAGGACGAUGAGAGAUGCCAAAGAUAAGCUUGUGCCAUCGUCAGUAAGAGAACUAGCUAUUGGCGGGUGUGGUGACCUGGAACUUCCACUACUUGGGUCACUGCAGCUGCUCACCAACCUAUCUACGCUCCAGCUGCAGAACUGCUCGAGCCUGUUAUCUCUCCCGUCCGCGGAUGUGUUCAAGAGUUUCAGGUCGCUGCACAACAUACGUGUAACGCGAUGCGAGAAUCUCUCGUCCCUGGGAGGGCUCGGAUCACUGUCAUCCCUUCAGGACUUAGCUAUCUCCAAGCUAUCUGGUUCUGGUGAUGCAGAAGAGCAUCUGGUGGAGACCGGCAACUCACUGCGGAUAAGUUCUCUUAGCUUUGAUCUGCCGUCCUUGCUGCUUCAUGAGCCGCUCAAGAGUCUGUGCCAUACUGAAACUUUACACAUUAAUGACUGUUCAGAGACAAAGAGCUUACCUGAACGAUGGCUGCUACAGAACCGCUCAUCCCUCCGACACCUGAGUAUACUGAAAGCAGAAUCCUUGGAAUCGCUCCCACCGAGCAUGCAAGACCUUUGCUCUCUCAAGGCAUUAUACCUUGAUGAUGCUCUGCUACUCCGAUCACUUCCAUAUCUCCCCUCCUCCUUGAAGAAUCUGAACAUUAUAAAAUGCCAUUCAGCCCUGGAGGAGAAGAUCACAAAACAUGGAAGCCCUGAAUUGAACAAGAUUGCCCACAUCCCUGACGUGCAAAUAGGAGGUUGGCAUUUCCUUAUGGGCAAGAAAUUCAGCAGAGAGGCUUACCAUAAACUGAGUGAUAGUGACCGCAACAGAUUUAUGUCCGGGUCGUCGCUGCACUAG
RNAcentral lists this ribosomal RNA (1149 nucleotides) under Triticum aestivum (bread wheat). RNAcentral's name for it is "partial small subunit ribosomal RNA". Lineage: Eukaryota; Viridiplantae; Streptophyta; Magnoliopsida; Poales; Poaceae. The record is from RNAcentral.